CGGUAGUCGAGGGCUUUACUGUCUCUUACUUCCAAUCCGUGAAAUUGACCUUCCCGUGAAGAGGCGGGAAUAUGACAAUAAGACGAGAAGACCCUAUGGAGCUUUAAUUAACCGACCCAAAGAGAUCUUGAUAAUCAACCGACAGGGAUAACAUACCUCUACCAUGGGCCGACAAUUUAGGUUGGGGUGACCUCGGAGAAUAAAACAACCUCCGAGUGAUUUAAAUCUAGACUAACUAGUCGAAAGUACUACAUCACUUAUUGAUCCAAAAACUUGAUCAACGGAACAAGUUACCCUAGGGAUAACAGCGCAAUCCUAUUUUAGAGUCCAUAUCGACAAUAGGAUUGUGCGCUGUUAUCCCUAGGGUAACUUGUUCGUUGAUGGGUUUUUGGAUCAGUAAGUG
Molecule: ribosomal RNA, 403 nt
Filed under: Panthera onca (jaguar)
Lineage: Eukaryota; Metazoa; Chordata; Mammalia; Carnivora; Felidae
Description: partial 16S ribosomal RNA
Rfam family: Bacterial large subunit ribosomal RNA
Source: RNAcentral